This is a small nucleolar RNA of Sorex araneus (European shrew), 88 nucleotides long. Ensembl annotates it as small nucleolar RNA, C/D box 35B. Its record names the gene SNORD35B. The record is from Ensembl. Lineage: Eukaryota; Metazoa; Chordata; Mammalia; Eulipotyphla; Soricidae.
GGCAUAUGAUGUUUGUACUCACGAUGGUCUUCAGAUGCCCACCUGGGGCAUUGCUGAGAAAGCCAUUUGGCACUGCUGAUGUCAGAAU